CCAACCCAAUAGACGAACGAAAGUACGUGGUCGAAUUAAAAUACAAAUGGAAAAUUCAUAUUAUAAAUAUCAAAUUGGACAUUAGGUUCGACGAACAAUUACUAUACUAUUUUUGUGACUCAAAAAUCGAUAGACUACGUCAGCCAAACAUCAGGAUUAUACGAGGAUUAUAAAAAUAGAAAAUUGUGGAAAGAAGAUUAUUAAAAGCGAUUUUGAAUUAUUUGCAGUUGUAUUGGGUUGGCAACUAAGUGAUUGCGGGUUUUGUCAUUACCAUCUUAUGACAAAA
This 286-nucleotide unclassified non-coding RNA is filed under the name Bombus terrestris (buff-tailed bumblebee). RNAcentral's name for it is "misc RNA ENSBTSG00005021034.1". The record is from RNAcentral. Lineage: Eukaryota; Metazoa; Arthropoda; Insecta; Hymenoptera; Apidae.